GCCAUGGUAGUGUAAUGGAUCAGCGGGGCAGACCGGAUGUCUGUAAGUGCGGGUUCCAGUCCCGCCUGAGGUU
Non-coding RNA from Dictyocaulus viviparus (bovine lungworm), 73 nucleotides. The record is from Rfam. Lineage: Eukaryota; Metazoa; Nematoda; Chromadorea; Rhabditida; Metastrongylidae.